Xenopus laevis (African clawed frog) is the source of this 3756-nucleotide RNA transcript. It is a transcript of the gene named exostosin glycosyltransferase 2 S homeolog, with no coding region annotated. Lineage: Eukaryota; Metazoa; Chordata; Amphibia; Anura; Pipidae. The record is from RefSeq and is a predicted model, not a curated record. The transcript is spliced from 15 exons.
UGGCAGCCUAUGCGUUCCAGGGUGGAAUGGAGUUACGGGCGUGAGGCAGCUGGAGGGGGCGGCCCGGGAGCUGCUGAUGCCAGUGGGGGCCAAGCAGAACCGAAUCUGGGGUGGAGGGGGCCAGUAUGUGUGCCUCGGUCAAGUACAGCACAAGGGGUCCAGUCCUCAUCCCCAGGAUGAAGUCCAAGCACCGUGUCUACUACAUUGCUCUCUUCUCUGUGGUCCUGCUGGGCCUUAUUGCCACUGGGAUGUUUCAGUUCUGGCCGCACACUAUCGAGCCUUCCAGCGACUGGACCGCAGACAAGCGAAGUGUCCAUGGUGUGCCAUCGGUCAAGCUCUCACUGGACAGCCCUCUCCCAGAGAGGGGAGACUUAAGAUGCAGGAUGCACACAUGCUUUGAUGUAUACCGCUGCGGAUACAAUCCUAAGAACAAGGUGAAGGUGUACAUCUACCCGCUGAAGAAAUACACAGAUGAGUACAGCGUUUCGGUGGGGGGCACCAUCUCCCGUGAGUACAACCAGCUUCUGAGUGCCGUGUCCCAGAGCGACUUCUACACAGAAGAUGUGAGCAAGGCCUGUCUCUUUCUGCCCUCCAUCAAUGUUCUCAACCAAGAUAGUCUGCGCAUUAAAGAGACUGCACAAGCGCUGGCACAGCUACCCAGGUGGGACAGAGGGACCAACCACUUACUAUUUAACAUGCUUCCUGGUGGACCCCCGGAUUAUAACACUGCUCUUGAUGUCCCCCGAGACAGAGCCUUGUUAGCUGGAGGAGGAUUUUCCACGUGGACCUACCGGCAGGGUUAUGACGUCAGUAUUCCAGUGUACAGCACUCUGUCUGCAGAGGUGAAACUGGCAGAGAAAGCAACCGGCCCCCGCACCCACUUCCUCCUGUCCUCCCAGACUUCUUUGCACCCAGAGUUCCGCUCAGAACUAGAAGCCAUCCGGGCAGAAAAUGGAGAGUCGGUGCUGAUCUUGGAAAAGUGCAGCAAUUAUUCUGAUGGUGCCAUGUUGCUCCGCAAGCGCUGCUAUAAGAACAUGAUGUAUGACUACCCGCAGAUCCUUCAGGAAUCCACGUUCUGUAUAGUGCUGCGAGGGGCUCGGCUAGGGCAAGGGGUUCUCAGUGACGUCUUGCAGGCUGGUUGUGUGCCAGUUAUUAUCGCAGAUUCCUAUGUGCUUCCCUUCUCUGAGGUCCUGGAUUGGAAAAGAGCAUCGGUGGUGAUACCCGAAGAGAAGAUGUUUGAGAUGUACAGCAUUCUACAGGGCAUUUCUCAGCGGCAAGUGGAAGAGAUGCAGCGUCAGGCUCGCUGGUUCUGGGAAGGCUAUUUCAGUUCAAUGAAAUCCAUCGCUUUGACCACCCUUCAGAUUAUUAAUGACCGCAUCUACCCUUACGCCGCUCGCUCCUAUGAAGAGUGGAAUGACCCACCUGCUGUGCAAUGGAGCAGCGUAAACAACCCCCUCUUCCUGCCGCUCAUCCCCCCUCAGUCCCAGGGGUUCACCGCCGUGGUGCUGACAUACGACCGGGUCGAAAGCUUGUUCCGUGUUAUCACAGAAGUCUCCAAGGUCCCGAGUCUGUCCAAGCUGCUGGUGGUGUGGAAUAAUCAGAAUAAGAACCCACCUGAAGCUUCUGUUUGGCCAAAGAUCCGGGUUCCAUUGAAAGUCGUGAGAACCACUGAGAACAAGCUGAGCAACCGCUUCUUCCCCUACAAUGAAAUUGAAACCGAAGCCGUUUUGGCGAUUGACGAUGACAUCAUCAUGCUGACAUCAGAUGAGCUUCAGUUUGGUUACGAGGUAUGGCGGGAGUUUCCAGACAGGUUGGUGGGAUACCCAGGCCGACUGCACCUGUGGGAUCAUGAAAUGAGCAAAUGGAAAUACGAAUCCGAGUGGACAAAUGAGGUGUCGAUGGUUCUGACUGGUGCUGCUUUUUACCACAAGUACUUUAACUACCUGUACAGCUACAAGAUGCCCGGGGACAUCAAGAACUGGGUAGACGCCCACAUGAACUGCGAAGAUAUCGCCAUGAACUUUUUAGUGGCCAACGUGACCGGGAAGGCACCUAUUAAGGUGACUCCGAGAAAGAAAUUUAAGUGCCCAGAAUGCACGGCCAUCGACGGGCUAUCACUGGAUCAGACCCACAUGGUGGAGAGAUCUGAAUGCAUCAACAAGUUUGCAUCGGUUUUCGGCACCAUGCCCCUGAAGGUGGUGGAGCACCGCGCCGACCCCGUGCUGUACAAGGACGACUUCCCUGAGAAGCUAAAAAGUUUCCCCAACAUAGGCAGCCUGUGACCCCCCUCAGUCUGGCUGUUUCUGAGUGAUCGCGUCUCCACCGCGCAGCACUACCAAUCGUUACCUCUGCUCCACUUUUAGUCUUUCCAUUUCACACGUUUUAUUUCUGAUUUUUAACACAUCUCCCAUAGCUGCUCUCUCCGGUUAUUAUUGUCGGACCUGUUACAGGGAUCUGCGUACAAUGGGUUUAAUAUUAAAUACCUGCCGGCAACCAAUCCGAAUCCACUGACAAUUCUGCUGGGCCUUUCUUAGACAUGAUGGCUGUGUGGCACACGUACCUGUAAAUGUGCAAUCGGCCAAUCAAAUGGUUGCCUUCACUAUUAAAGUAUAAGUAAACCUUUAAAAUAAAUGAAAAAAAUAAAUAAAAACCUUUCUCAAAUUUUUCCUAAGCAGAAGAACAUCAGAGCGGCCUCUUUCUUUCUCCUGACAACUUCCUUGACUACUUGGUGGUCAGACUGGUCGGAAACUGACCAGCAGGUGGCACUGUUGUAACAGAAUUAAUUAAUGUUAACAGAACAUAUAUCCCUUAAUAUCUUGGAAUAAAAACAAAAUAAAUAAUGAAUGUACAUUUACAAAAUUUCAUAGCGCCCUCAUCAAUUUUACAUUCACUUAUUUGAAAGGUUUACUUAUCCUUUAAGACUAUACUAGAAUAGCAGCAACUGAUUGGUUGGUAAGGGUUAGUGCACUGGGGCAACUAGGCCUCGUGUUUCCGUAAAAUCGCAUACCUCUACUAUACAGUGACCCUUUCUGCAUAUUUCAGGGUCUCUCUCAUACUCGUGCAUUUCAUUCUCUUGUAUGUUGGUCAUGUUUUUAUUAGGGAUGCACCGAAUCCAGAAUUCGGUUCAGGAUUCAGCCAAGAUUCGGCCUUUUUCAGCAGGAUUCGGCCGAAUUCUUCUGCCCGACCAAACCAAAUCCAAAUCCUAAUUUGCAUAUGCAAAUUAGGGACGGAAAUCACAUGACUUUUUGUCAGAAAACAAAGAACUAAAAAUGAUUUCACCUUCCCACCCCUAAUUUGCAUAUGUAAAUUAGGAUUCAGUUUGCUAUUCGGCCAAAUCUUUUGAGAAGGAUUCGGGGGUUCGGCCGAAUCGAAAAUAGUGGAUUAGGUGCAUCCCUAGUUUUUAUGUUAUGUUUUUACAUUUUUUUUUUUUUAAAUGUCCCUUUUACCCCUGGAGCUUUAAACUAUUUAAAUAUUUGUUUUUUAAAUUACUAGGAACCCGCCGUGGUACUAGGGUGUUACACUUCUCCUGUAUACUGUACAGUGCAGCCCAUUGCCUUGAUAGAUCCUGAAAAAAAAAAGCAUUUUAUCUAAAGGCAGCCAGUGUGCAAAUUUCCCACAAUCCUCAGUAAAGACACUACUUGGCAAUGACUGUACGGAGGUUUUCAAGGGUUGGUUUGCUGACCCCUCACCGUGAAGCAACGGAGACCUUGUAGAUUACAAUUUGGGAAUGAAUAAAGACUUUGUCCCUUGUCUGUA